Molecule: long non-coding RNA, 2204 nt
Organism: Neodiprion fabricii
Lineage: Eukaryota; Metazoa; Arthropoda; Insecta; Hymenoptera; Diprionidae
Exons: 2
Source: RefSeq, a predicted model, not a curated record
AAAUCUCGGAGUUUCUCUCCGCCUUAGAGAUUGGACUCCUGUACUCUAGCUUCACGGUUCGAGACAAACAUCGAAGUGUCAGCUGGGACGAAGAUGCGUUUUUUAUGUGUUUAAUUAUUGAUGGAUUUAGAUUAAGAAUAUGUUAGUGAGAUCUGGAAGGUCGAGUAACCUAUUCGAGUUAUGCUCUUUUCCAACAGUUUCGAAUUCCGUUUCGACAGUUUGUUCGACUGGAAUCAUGAAAAAAAUAAUUUUAAAAAUACGAAUUUCCUUGUCCACAAGCCGAUAUGCCAAUAGAUAUCUUAAUUUUACAAUUAAUUUGGAAUGAAUGGAUUUUUAUUCAAUCCUCUUAUAAAAUUCAUUUCUUCCACAUUGAUGCGAGCAGUCAUACGCACAUUUUGUAACGAAGGUACCUUUUCACCCUGCGGUAUAUUUAAAGAAGAGAAUCUUAACCCUUCAAGAUAAAAGCAUUAUCAGAGAAGCCAUUUAUUCUCUCGCAACCCAAUGUUACAAUAUUAAUAACAACAUUUAAGUUCUUAUCAGCGCAGGAACCAUGACGAACCGCUGGCUUCGUACCAUCAAUGUUCACUUCGCAAAGCCAUGAUGAUUAUCGUCUUCGCGACACUAAUUUGGACAAGCAAUUUAUGACGUUUAUAAUCCGGAGAAAAGUCGGUGAUUGACGAAAAAUGCAAAUAUUCUAAAAAAGUCUUCUUUACUUAAAUACAACCUGAUUGAUGCACUGACUUGCCAUAAGUCAGAUCGGGACAUACGAGAAAAAUGAAAGAAAAAAAAUAAUAAUUAGAAAGAAUUUUGUUAUAAUUUUCAUGUAUAAUAAACAUAAAUGGAUCAAAUAACAUAGCGUGUAUUGCCUGCUAUUUCGACAUCAUACUUUUUCCCACACGCGCGCUGCAUGUGAUAUUUGAUAGCUAUGGAGGCGAAUAACGAAGCUUACUGAAUUUUCAUCAAUUUCAAUAUCGCGAAAUAACCUUUUUUCCUAAGCAUGAACCGUUACGAUAAUGUUAUUUAUAACUUCAAUGUGGUAACAGAUUCUAGUUCUUAAAUGAUUGAAAACAGUCAGAGGAAUAACGAAUUACAGAAGUUUUAUUUCCUUAAUUCUAUACAGAUUUUCAUGGAUAAAAAUUUACAAAACUUUAUAUUCACGCGCAAAACAAAAAUCAUUCUAGAGAUCAAGACAUUCUGUCCCCUCUUUUUCAGUUCAUGUGGUAUUUUGAAAUGGUGUAAGUAACAAUUGCAAAUUUACAGUAUUUUUAACCGUUAGAUCUUUGUUGAUUAAAAUGUUGUAUACAGCAAACAACUGUAACAACAUGUUUACGUUUCAGAGUAUCUCCAAUCCAUACAAAUGUACAACAUACGUGAAAUUUUCAGCAUUUUCAAUCACUGCUUGCUUUACAAGCAUUUUACACUUUACAACACUGUGAAAUAUGGCUCUUGCUUUUGUACAAAUCUUGAAUUCACUUGCAUGAUAUAAAGAGACUUUGGUAUUCGGCUUACGAGUACAGCCACAUUUGCAUUUAGAAAAGAACACAAGUGAGGAGGGGAUUAGAAAGUAACUGAAAACAAUUGUUUUGGCUUAUUAUAAGUGUAUUUCUUAAAAUUUCAUCAAUUGAUAGUAUAGGAUCGCAUAUCAUACUUGAUUUAUCGUUCAAAAUUAAAAGUGAAAUGAUAAAAGUAUCUAUCGAACGCAAACCACCUUGUGAAAAAUGUAAUGUGCCGUGUAGUAGUAUAAUUAAAUCAGUAAAAAAAAAAACAAUGAUGUAACUAUGUACAAACCUUCAAGUCCGACGCUGAUUUUCAUUUUAUAGUCAGUUAAAAAUGGUAAUGACAUUUAAACCUUAUCAUCUAUUUUACAGAUACAAUAUAAUUCUAAAAAUUUGUUAGUUUAUCAUUGUACAAUCGCGGAAUAACUCCUGACAUAGGAAUAUCGGUUUACUGUAGUCACUUUCUGAAAAAGGCACAAUCGAAACGUCCAAUGAAAACACAACAUUUUUACUGCUUCUAUCAUCUGCGAAGGAAAAACUCAUACCAAUGCAAAUAGCGAUGUAAUUUCGUAAUUUCUCUCUACCGUGUUUAUUGGUAAAUAAUACACGAAUCUGAAUCGAUAAAUGUUUUCUCUUCGUUACCUUUUCGUCACACCCUAUUCAGAAGCGGCUAGCAUCAAGGUUUUCAAACGAAUUCGAUUCAUUGAA